This 400-nucleotide ribosomal RNA is filed under the name uncultured bacterium. RNAcentral's name for it is "bacterial SSU rRNA". It matches the Rfam family "Bacterial small subunit ribosomal RNA", at positions 355 to 752 of the family's 1533-position model. The record is from RNAcentral.
UAAGGAAUAUUGGGCAAUGGGCGCAAGCCUGACCCAGCCAUCCCGCGUGCAGGAAGAAGGCCCUAUGGGUCGUAAACUGCUUUUGUUUGAGAAGAACAGGACGCAUUUAUGCGUUUGUGACGGUAUCUUACGAAUAAGCACCGGCUAACUCCGUGCCAGCAGCCGCGGUAAUACGGAGGGUGCAAGCGUUAUCCGGAAUCACUGGGUUUAAAGGGUGCGUAGGCGGCAUGAUAAGUCAGAGGUGAAAGCUUACAGCUCAACUGUAAAAUUGCCUUUGAUACUGUUGUGCUUGAAUGAGGGUGAGGCAGGCAGAACGUGGCAUGUAGCGGUGAAAUGCAUAGAUAUGCCACAGAAUACCGAUUGCGAAGGCAGCCUGCUGGCCCUGAAUUGACGCUGAGGC